Molecule: transfer RNA, 67 nt
Filed under: Margattea bisignata
Lineage: Eukaryota; Metazoa; Arthropoda; Insecta; Blattodea; Pseudophyllodromiidae
Description: tRNA-Ala
Source: RNAcentral
AGGAUGAUAGUUAAUUAUAACAAUUGGGUUGCAUUCAAGUAGUACUGAAAUAUUUCAGUUCAUCUUU